Molecule: ribosomal RNA, 501 nt
Filed under: uncultured bacterium
Lineage: Bacteria
Description: bacterial SSU rRNA
Rfam family: Bacterial small subunit ribosomal RNA
Source: RNAcentral
GAUGAACGCUAGCGACAGGCUUAACACAUGCAAGUCGAGGGGUAGCAGGAUAGAAGCUUGCUUUUAUUGCUGACGACCGGCGCACGGGUGAGUAACGCGUAUGCAACCUACCUAUCAGCGGGGGAUAGCCCAUUGAAAGAUGGAUUAAUACCGCAUAAAGCAGGGGUCCCGCAUGGGAAUAUUUGCUAAAGAUUAAUUGCUGAUAGAUGGGCAUGCGUUCCAUUAGUUAGUUGGUAAGGUAACGGCUUACCAAGACAUCGAUGGAUAGGGGUUCUGAGAGGAAGGUCCCCCACACUGGUACUGAGACACGGACCAGACUCCUACGGGAGGCAGCAGUGAGGAAUAUUGGUCAAUGGGCGAGAGCCUGAACCAGCCAAAUCGCGUGAAGGACGACGGUAUUAUGUAUUGUAAACUUCUUUUAUAAGGGAAUAAAAAGUAGGACGUGUCCUAUGUUGCAUGUACCUUAUGAAUAAGCAUCGGCUAACUCCGUGCCAGCCGCCG